RNAcentral lists this microRNA precursor (96 nucleotides) under Nicotiana sylvestris (wood tobacco). Its description in RNAcentral is "MIR6152 microRNA precursor family". It matches the Rfam family "MIR6152 microRNA precursor family". The record is from Rfam by way of RNAcentral. RNAcentral also lists the same sequence under 1 other name. Lineage: Eukaryota; Viridiplantae; Streptophyta; Magnoliopsida; Solanales; Solanaceae.
UGGACAGAUUAUUGUAUUCGACUGUAUUCACGGCAUGAAACAGGGGAUUACACUGUUUUUAAAUGGAAAGUGAAUCAAUUGACAUAAUAGACUCGU